RNAcentral lists this unclassified non-coding RNA (355 nucleotides) under uncultured fungus. Its description in RNAcentral is "sequence contains ITS1". The stretch from base 1 to 107 matches the Rfam family "5.8S ribosomal RNA", at positions 50 to 154 of the family's 154-position model. Lineage: Eukaryota; Fungi. The record is from RNAcentral.
GAAAUGCGAUACGUGGUGUGAAUUGCAGAAUCCCGCGAACCAUCGAAACUUUGAACGCAAGUUGCGCCUCAAGCCAUUCGGUUGAGGGCACGUAUGCUUGGGUGUCAUGCAUUAUGUCUCCCCUCUCGUGUGUGGAGUGGGAAUAGAUCCUGGCCUCCUGGGCCCUUCCUUGGGCGUGGUUGGCCGAAAAUGUUGUCCUUGAUUUUGUUGAUGUCUUGGUGUGCGGUGGAUGUGCCAGGUGUGCAUAGUUGCCAGCCUUGCUCGGCUUCAUUGUGGCGUCGGGAUCCUAUGAAGCUGCCGGUUUUGGCUCUUUGAUUGCGACCCCAAGUCAGGCGAGACUACCCGCUGAGUUUAA